Long non-coding RNA from Phacochoerus africanus (Common warthog), 2021 nucleotides. RefSeq lists it as uncharacterized. The record is from RefSeq and is a predicted model, not a curated record. NCBI's taxonomy places the organism in Eukaryota, Metazoa, Chordata, Mammalia, Artiodactyla, Suidae. The transcript has 3 exons.
AUUUGGAUUCGUUAACCACUGCGCCACAACAGGAACUCCGGAGAAAAAUGUCUCGAUUCUCCUUGCAUCCACUCUCUGAGGAAGGAAGCCUGACCAACAUUUCUGGGUGUCAACUUCUAGGCUUUUUUUGGAUAAAGCUUAUAAAAGCUAUUUGACUGAAAAUUAAAGUGGAUAGAAAUGUGUAUCUCUUUGACCUACUGUGGAAUGUUCUAUUGUUUUAAGGGUUUCUUUUUCAGACUUUCUUCAAAAACCAUCCUUUCGGUUGCUGCUUUAGGAAAUAAAUCAGAACUCUACUGCCUGGACCUGGCGUAAAUGAAUCCGAGGUUCCUAAAUACCGUACUAGAGACAGGCUACCUCGGAAUUCCUUAGAAACUUUAAAGCAGGCAGACUCCAGGCCCCUGAAAAUUCUUGUUCAACGGUCUAAGAAAGAGCCUAGAAGUUAGAACACCCCCGACUGACAACUGUUAGCUGUGUGUCUGCAGCGCGUGGCGUUAGUGGGUGUCCAUCUGGAGGGCGGGGGACACGGGAGUGGCUGUCACAUUGUUGGAAUGCCAUCCCACGGGGAGGGGUUAGCGCUCGGCGGGCUCUGCGGGCCCGGCUGAUGAGUAAGCUCCCAGGAGGCGGAUUUGGGCACAAUAGGAAAGAACUUUGUAACAGGCAGAGCAGCGGAACAGUUGGUCGCAGGGAUGAUGGAACGUGGGCCAGAUUUGGAGUCAGAAGAUGGCAAGAUUGGAUCAGAGGCCUCUGCGGGGUCAAGGAGAAGGCCACGGACGUGCCUCGGCUCGGCCUUUCUCCAUCCGUGGACUCUGAGAUACCCCUGCGCUUUCCCCCAGCUGGACUUAGCGCCCUCGGCUAGUGGUCCUCAGCAAAGGGGGAUCCUCCCCUCCUCCCAGGGGGGUUUGGCCAUGUUUGCUUGUCGUGAUUGGGGAGGGUGCUAUUUGCAUCCAGUGCCUAGAAGCAGGUGCUGCCCAUCAUUCUACGUUCACCGGGACGACCCCCCAGCAAAGAACCACCCAGCUCCAAGUGGUAGCAGGGCAGGUUGAGAACCCGUCUAGGCGACUCACGGGGGUUGUCAUGCAGGGUAAAUUCCAGUUGCCACCCUGCCCUUCCCAUCUACCAGCAGGGUGAUCCCCGCCUCCUCUGCCUCCACGGUCUCGCCCCUCAGAUGGGUGGACUUGAAUUUACAGAGCAUCAGAUACGCGCCAGACUCUGAGCCACAUCCUCGCGUUCUGUCCGCCUUCUCCCAGGAGCCGCCCCAGAGACAAGGAGCUCGUAUUUCACUUCGGCAGGUUCAGGGGGCUUCCGGGUGUCUACACCAACACCUCAGCUCGGAUGCAGAGCCAAGCCGCUGGAGCACUCAGGUGUGUCUGAGGGAUGUGAGCGACCUGGUACCGUUUCUUUACACAAGGCUGAGAAGUGAGACAUCUGGCAGAGCGCCUGGUGCCAAGAAGGUCAUCCAUCAUUUCGAAAUGGCAGCCCAUCUGCUCCACAAGGGAAGGUGACCUCGGCCUCACCGGCCAUGGCCUCUGGAGAGAACAGAGGCUUCCUUCUCCAAGUGGAGACCCCAACCUGAUGGCCUUUCCUCACUAGUUCCAGGGCUUCCCCCUCAGUGGGCAGGCGUUCCCCGGAGACCACGACGGUGACUCGAUUAGCCGCUUCAUCACUUCCUACCACGUGUUGGAGCCCGUGGAAGAGCCGACUCCCCAGAGGGCAAAUACGUGUGGAGGCAGAAUUCUAAAGUACAGCGUCCCCUUCAAAGACCAGAUAAGGGACUUGUGCAUUAACCAUCUUCUUCUGUAAACAGCAGCUCUGUGUCCUAAGGACACCCCGUCGUCGAUAUCCCUAGAGAAGAUAAUCUCAUCAUUGCCUAUGCCAGUCCCUGCCCGCGAAUCUUGUCACCUUCAUUAAGGCCAUUAAUAAUAAUCUCAUCACCUUCCUUAAUAAAAAUCAUGUGGGCUAAAGCCUAGGCCCUUUGUUCUGCAGAGCAGAGGGCCUCCUGGUCCCCCACGUUCGGGAUGUAA